RNAcentral lists this long non-coding RNA (2768 nucleotides) under Olea europaea subsp. europaea. Lineage: Eukaryota; Viridiplantae; Streptophyta; Magnoliopsida; Lamiales; Oleaceae. The record is from RNAcentral.
GGGGUACCAAACAGGACAAUAGUUUCUCAACCGUCACUCAAGUAGUAAUUCUAACAAGGUAGAUACAAUUUAUGAUAAUGGAUUUCUUUUUUCAUUAUGAUUUUGAUGUUUAAUUACCAUUGUAGUAUUAUUUGUUAGAUGCUCCAGCUGGAGAUGGGUUUUCUUAUAUUGGAGAUUCAGAACUAAGAUUGAUCAUACUAAUCCCCUAUCCCGGCUGCCUUUAACUACAUUUUGUUCAAAUUAUAGAAAUUUUAAUGAUAGGUUUUUUGAAAUUAAAGGGCAAUUUUUUGACAAGUAUUCUGAUAAACCGAGCCCUGUUGAUGAAUGGUUCAAGCGAGGAAAGAUAGUAUGUUAAUUGGAAUUUAUUUAUUUAUUUAUUUUUUCUUUUUGGCUUCAUUGUGAUAUGAAGACAAAAUUGCAACUUAUUUUUUUCCUUUCAAAUCUUCAAAUUUUAAAAGGAUUAAGCUCAUUCGGAUGUUGAUUGAUGGGAUUUUGUAUUCAGAUGAAAGUCCAUCUUGUUGGUGGCACUAGAGAGAAAGCAAACAGCAGUGCUAGACGUACAGAAUGGUUCUUUUACAGAACCUUCACAGAAUCACGUGUCUAACACAACCGAACGAAUUUCCCCCCAAAACAAAGCCCCAAUAACGAAGGGAAACAACAAUAAAGGAAGGAAACCAAAAUUCUCUCACCAUUUGGAACCCUAAAAAUUGCCUCCACCUCUUCUCGUCCGAAAUCCACCUCAGGCAGCCCGAUCGACGAAUUGCCGCAGCAAAAUCCACAUCCGACAGCCUGUGGAGUAGUGUCCACCCAGUAUCUGCCAUCUCUUAGCUUCAGGUAAGCCGAAUUUCACUUCUUAUUUUAGUUGCUUCCAUGGUGUUGUUUGGUAAUUUUGGGAAUAUGGUGGUGUAAAUGGAAGAUUAUGAUUAUGAAUGUUGGACAAAAAUUCGAUUUGUGAAAUUCGAUUUCUGGAUAUUCGGGUUGGGGUUUGGGGGUCGGUGGGUUCCAAAGCAAAAUCAGUAGUUGCUCAUGGUGAUGACCGACAAGAAAUGACAGAUUCUUAAAUUACUUUAUCAAACCGUGCGAACUUCUUCACCAAUUUGUUCAAAGCGGUUGGGUAAUUGUUUAUACUGAUUUUUUAAUUGUUUGGUUGAAAAUGAAACAAAAAAAGGCAUCAAAGUAUUGAUUUUUAAGCAUAAGCUUCAUAUUAAUUGUUCAUCCUAUUUAUUUCAGUAAAAGUAUUGAUGAACUGCAAAGUAUGGACCACAGAGCAUGUUCGACUAUGCUUGAAAAGUUUUACAUUUUGAGUGAGUUGUAUUUUAUUUAUUUAUUUAUUUAUUUUUGAUAAACAUGUUUGGAAACAGUAACUUUUACUUACUCUAGGCUUAAGCAAACACGUUUGUGCUAAUUUUUAGGCAUGCUUUGUGAAAUUAUGCAACCGAGUAUACUUAUAAACUGGAAUAGCUAAAAUCUACGUCUUUUAAGGGACAAAUUCAAUUUUUCUAGCCAUCACUUUGGUGUUGUUAAUUCACUCGAUAAUAUUGUGGACAAUGAGUGCGGAUAUUUGUUAAUAAUUCAGUUUUUUCUUUCCAGCAUAAGGGGGAGGAAUGUUGGCGUCUAUUACGGCUAUAGAAGUACAGACCACUCCUUCCUGAAUUGCUCGAUAAAACGACGAUGCCCAUGAUGUACGCACGAACUGCAAAAAUGUUUUGAAGUUGAAAGGGAGACAAAGAACAAAGGGCGAUUAUUCAAAACAUGUAGUGUUAAUUGUGGGUAUUUUGAUUGGAUUGUAAACGAAGAAUCAAGCGGUGAAUCUAACACGACUAAUGAAGCAGUGAAUCUUGAAGCCAUCGAGGAAGCCGAAGAUUUGCUGACCAUGUUCGACAGUCUAGCUAGAAUAGUUGAAAAAAGAGAUAUUGAAAUUUCAUUGAAUAUGACAUUUCAUAAGAGAAAGGAAAGUGCCGAUGUGAAUGGGAAUGGAAAAGGGAAGGGCCACGCCCCAUAGGUAGUAGGCAAAACUGAUUUUGAUGUUUCGAAAUAUUACUUUGCUAUUUUUGUCCAUAAAUAAAUUGAGUAUAUUCUAUUGCUUAGGUUUGGUGGUGGUAAAUGGUGGCUGUGUUCAAUUUUAUCUUCAUUAAGUGUUAAAUAGGUAAUGGAUGUUUAAGAUGGUGGUUUUGGAGAACUUGUAUGGAUAAUGGCAGUGUGUGCUGUAAUGAAAUUGGUAAUCGUGUUUUGGAAUGCAAGUGGUGGUGUUAUAUUUGUGAACUAAUUUUCUGUUUGUUCAUUGCUUGAGUUAAACUAUGUAUAUAUAUCAUAGGUUGCAUCUUAUUUUGGAGGUUUUAGUUUGUUUCAAUCGUCUUCUGGAUUUGAUGUUUAAAUUAUCUUAGUUAUGGGAAAGUUGUGACUUGAAAGGCCCUUAGUGGUUUUCGAAGUUCCUCGAUUAUGAUGGCAGAGGAAUGGAUGGCUGUCGGCCUGAAGAUACACAUUUGAUUUGAAGAUUGCUUUCCCAACAGAUUGAAACCGAGGCAGAAAAUCUAGUUUUUGCUGACAUCAAAUUGAACUCAACUUUUCUCUCCAUCCAAUCCCCCCAAAUAUUGCAGUCCUCCUUACAUUAAAAUGGCAGAAAAAAUAAAGAGCACAAGCAAAAUGCAAAAACUAACGUUUUCAGCAAAAACUGUCCAUUUACUCUCUCAUUAACAUAAUCAAGUUCCUCAAAGAAGUGAGCAACUCAUUCAUCAACCAACACAAUGAGGUUAACAGAUGUCUUAAAA